UUUGUCUAAACAACAGGGAAGAGCUGAAGCCCAGUCUUGAAGCAGCAAGAUCGAACUGUAGGAGAUUGUCCUCCAAUUGGUGGCCUCCAAUGACAAUUGAAGUCCUAGGAUUCACUCCUCCAUCCACAAAUCCAAGGCACAACACAUCAUCUUUAACCUGCACCAUUGAGUUUGCACCAAAAAUCCUCCAGUAAACAUUCUUGCUUUGCAGGACAAGAUCAAUUUGAGGCACUGCUGGGCCAACGCGUGUGCUGCCAAUGUUCUUUGAGUUGAAACAUGCUCCGAAAGGUGCUACAGAUGCCACCCUAGGGACAUUGGCUUUGGCUAGCUCUCUGACAAAAGAGUCAGUGACAGCAUUGUAGAUUGUUGUUUCCAUCACCGUGUAAGCAUUUACUGUGCUAAUCUUGGUUCCACCAUAGCCUUCUCUGUUAAUGGACAGCAAUGAAGCGUUUAAUGGAACAACAUUUUCAUUGAUCUUGAUAGACUUGACUCCAAUGAAGUAAUCAGUGGAAGGCUCUCCUUCAAAGUAACCAGAUGCUGUGCUUACAGGGUUGAGAAUUAAUGGGGUGUAGAUGAGGGACUGAGAAAGAUCAUCAGCAUGUGGAAGCAAAACAUAAGGUCCAUCUCC
Molecule: long non-coding RNA, 628 nt
Filed under: Populus trichocarpa (black cottonwood)
Lineage: Eukaryota; Viridiplantae; Streptophyta; Magnoliopsida; Malpighiales; Salicaceae
Description: long non-coding RNA (PTRI_LNC001697)
Source: RNAcentral